Alosa alosa (allis shad) is the source of this 390-nucleotide long non-coding RNA. RefSeq lists it as uncharacterized. The transcript is spliced from 2 exons. Lineage: Eukaryota; Metazoa; Chordata; Actinopteri; Clupeiformes; Clupeidae. The record is from RefSeq and is a predicted model, not a curated record.
GAAAAUAGAUUCAAGCUGGUGUUAGUUAAUAGGCCCCUUCUGAAGGAAAAUGGGGAGGGGGGUGCUAGUGUUGCCAUGUGUUCUGCUGUGACACUGGUCCAGAUCGAAAUAGAACAGAUGGAAAAUUUGCUGGUGCCAUGGUAGAUGUCCCUGCCAGCACAACUUGAGGCACAAGAAGAGCAGAGUCCAAGGGGGAGCAGCGAUCAGAUCUUCGCUGAACACCAUGCCACAUUGGCUGAAGACUAAAUGGAGGGCUGAGUUGAUCCCAUCUUAACGCGACUGCCUGAAACAUGAGCUCGCAGCCUCCCUCCAAAGACUCUCACUUGAAUGACUGCACUAAGCACACUGUUCCAUUGUUAGAGGAAGAUUAAAGUUAGACUAAUCUCCUGG